CAUAAUGUCUGGAAUGAUUUAUGGCUAAAAUCUAUAUGGCCUCUGGAUUGGACUGCGGCCGAUCAGGCUGUUGGUGAGGUAAUGGCCCACCAAACCUAAAACCGGUACGGGCUCUGAGAGGAGAAGCCCGGAGAUGGGCACUGAGACAAGGGCCCAGGCCCUAUGGGGCGCAGCAGGCGCGAAAACUCUGCAAUAGGCGAAAGCUUGACAGGGUUAUUCUGAGUGAUUUCCGCUAAGGAAGUCUUUUGGCACCUCUAAAAAUGGUGCAGAAUAAGGGGUGGGCAAGCCUGGUGUCAGCCGCCGCGGUAAUACCAGCACCCCGAGUGGUCGGGACGAUUAUUGGGCCUAAAGCAUCCGUAGCCGGUUCUACAAGUCUUCCGUUAAAUCCAUCUGCUUAACAGAUGGGCUGCGGAGGAUACUAUAGAGCUAGGAGGCGGGAGAGGCAAGCGGUACUUAGUGGGUAGGGGUAAAAUCCGUUGAUCCACUGAAGACCACCAGUGGCGAAGGCGGCUUGCCAGAACGCGCUCGACGGUGAGGGAUGAAAGCUGGGGGAGCAAACCGGAUUAGAUACCCGGGUAGUCCCAGCUGUAAACGAUGCAGACUCGGUGAUGAAUAGGCUUCGUGCCUUUUCAGUGCCGCAGGGAAGCCGUUAAGUCUGCCGCCUGGGGAGUACGGUCGCAAGACUGAAACUUAA
This 694-nucleotide ribosomal RNA is filed under the name uncultured archaeon. RNAcentral describes it as "bacterial SSU rRNA". It matches the Rfam family "Archaeal small subunit ribosomal RNA", at positions 162 to 859 of the family's 1478-position model. The record is from RNAcentral.